CCUACGGGGGGCUGCAGUGGGGAAUAUUGGACAAUGGGCGAAAGCCUGAUCCAGCCAUGCCGCGUGUGUGAAGAAGGCCUUCGGGUUGUAAAGCACUUUCAGUGGGGAAGAAAGCCUUGGGGCUAAUACCCUCGAGGAAGGACAUCACCCACAGAAGAAGCACCGGCUAACUCCGUGCCAGCAGCCGCGGUAAUACGGAGGGUGCGAGCGUUAAUCGGAAUUACUGGGCGUAAAGCGCGCGUAGGCGGUCUGAUAAGCCAGUUGUGAAAGCCCCGGGCUCAACCUGGGAACGGCAUCCGGAACUGUCAGGCUAGAGUGCAGGAGAGGAAGGUAGAAUUCCCGGUGUAGCGGUGAAAUGCGUAGAGAUCGGGAGGAAUACCAGUGGCGAAGGCGGCCUUCUGGACUGACACUGACGCUGAGGUGCGAAAGCGUGGGUAGCAAACAGGAUUAGAUACCCGAGUAGUC
RNAcentral lists this ribosomal RNA (465 nucleotides) under Vreelandella stevensii. Its description in RNAcentral is "partial 16S ribosomal RNA". It matches the Rfam family "Bacterial small subunit ribosomal RNA", at positions 338 to 795 of the family's 1533-position model. Lineage: Bacteria; Pseudomonadati; Pseudomonadota; Gammaproteobacteria; Oceanospirillales; Halomonadaceae. The record is from RNAcentral.